This 253-nucleotide ribosomal RNA is filed under the name uncultured bacterium. Its description in RNAcentral is "partial 16S ribosomal RNA". It matches the Rfam family "Bacterial small subunit ribosomal RNA", at positions 524 to 776 of the family's 1533-position model. The record is from RNAcentral.
UACGUAGGGCGCAAGCGUUAUCCGGAAUUAUUGGGCGUAAAGAGCUCGUAGGCGGUUUGUCGCGUCUGCCGUGAAAGCCCGGGGCUCAACCCCGGAGGUGCAUCCGAAACUCUGGGGCUGGAGGUCGGAAGAGGAGGGUGGAAUACCCAGUGUAGAGGUGAAAUUCGUAGAUAUUGGGUGGAACACCGGUGGCGAAAGCGGCUCUCUGGUCCGGACCUGACGCUGAGGCGCGAAAGCGUGGGGAGCAAACAGG